GACGUAGGGAGCGAGCGUUGUCCGGAUUCAUUGGGCGUAAAGAGCGCGCAGGCGGCUUGGUAAGUCGGAUGUGAAAACCCGGAGCUCAACUCCGGGCGUGCACCCGAAACUGCCCGGCUAGAGGUAGGUAGGGGAGAUCGGAAUUCCUGGUGUAGCGGUGGAAUGCGCAGAUAUCAGGAGGAACACCGGUGGCGAAGGCGGAUCUCUGGGCCUUACCUGACGCUCAGGCGCGAAAGCUAGGGGAGCGAACAGG
RNAcentral lists this ribosomal RNA (253 nucleotides) under uncultured bacterium. Its description in RNAcentral is "partial 16S ribosomal RNA". It matches the Rfam family "Bacterial small subunit ribosomal RNA", at positions 524 to 776 of the family's 1533-position model. The record is from RNAcentral.